GAAAUGCGAUAAGUAAUGUGAAUUGCAGAAUUCAGUGAAUCAUCGAAUCUUUGAACGCACCUUGCGCCUUUUGGUAUUCCGAAAGGCAUGCCUGUUUGAGUGUUAUGAAAUUUCAAUCCCCCCGGGUUUUCAGAAGCCGAGGUGGACUUGGACAUGGGUGUCUGCCGUCUCGUACGGCUCGCCUUAAAUGACUCAGUCGGAUCUUCAGCAUCCGUGGCAGACGUAAUAAGUUACUUCUCGUCCCUUGCUGUGAGGACCGCUCAUAACCUGCCAUCGCCCACCACUUUUGACUCAGACCCCAAAUCAGGUAGGACUACCCGCUGAACUUAA
This 330-nucleotide unclassified non-coding RNA is filed under the name uncultured Tremellaceae. Its description in RNAcentral is "sequence contains ITS1". The stretch from base 1 to 105 matches the Rfam family "5.8S ribosomal RNA", at positions 50 to 154 of the family's 154-position model. The record is from RNAcentral. Lineage: Eukaryota; Fungi; Basidiomycota; Tremellomycetes; Tremellales; Tremellaceae.